AGUGAACGCUGGCGGUAGGCCUAACACAUGCAAGUCGAACGGCAGCACAGUAAGAGCUUGCUCUUACGGGUGGCGAGUGGCGGACGGGUGAGGAAUACAUCGGAAUCUACUUUUUCGUGGGGGAUAACGUAGGGAAACUUACGCUAAUACCGCAUACGACCUACGGGUGAAAGCAGGGGAUCUUCGGACCUUGCGCGAUUGAAUGAGCCGAUGUCGGAUUAGCUAGUUGGCGGGGUAAAGGCCCACCAAGGCGACGAUCCGUAGCUGGUCUGAGAGGAUGAUCAGCCACACUGGAACUGAGACACGGUCCAGACUCCUACGGGAGGCAGCAGUGGGGAAUAUUGGACAAUGGGCGCAAGCCUGAUCCAGCCAUACCGCGUGGGUGAAGAGGGCCUUCGGGUUGUAAAGCCCUUUUGUUGGGAAAGAAAAGCAGCAGAUUAAUACCCCGCUGUUCUGACGGUACCCAAAGAAUAAGCACCGGCUAACUUCGUG
Molecule: ribosomal RNA, 492 nt
Filed under: uncultured bacterium
Lineage: Bacteria
Description: partial 16S ribosomal RNA
Rfam family: Bacterial small subunit ribosomal RNA
Source: RNAcentral